CGAACAGUUUAGAGAGGUAGGCCCCCACUUCUGGCCCUUCCCCUCGGCUUAUUUUUGCCUUGUAAAAUUAAAUUUGCACAUUUUGGAUGUGAUUAAGAAAUACCUAACUGCUAUAAAUAAACAAGCAGAUAAUAUGACACAAACAAAAGCCGGGCCUGCCAAGUCCUAACAAGUCAAGGAGAUGACGUUGUUUAUACACGCUUGAAACCACAGAGCAACGAAUGCUUCCAACCCAAAGCAAGCGUGCCAUGCCAUGCACAAACAAAACCAGAUCACCUGGGUUAAAAAGCACAGAUCUCGUCAUGAAACCCUGAAGAAUUCCUUUAUGACUUUCAUUUCCAUUGAUACUCACAAUUGGAAAUGAGUACUGAAAGUCCCAAGCUGCCUGCAGAGAGGUUUCCUGCCCUGGGAGGGAAACAUACAGGGCCUCUGGCAGCUGUGAAAGAUGUUUCACAGCAGCUGGAAGUGAAAACAAGAGCAUCAGAUCCUUGUGUGGACAGCCUAUUUCUCCAGUGACUGCUGCACUGAGCCAGAAAGCUUGUUGGAAAUGUUUCCUGAAGAACACUUAUGUAUGCCAGAGGUUGCACCCCAUUGAAUGUAAAGCUGAGAUUUCAAAAAGCCCUGUUGAUGUAGGAACUGAAUCCCUAUCGCCCCUAAUUCUGAGUCCCAACACUAAAUUCUGAAGAAAAAAAAAGAUGAAAAUCGGAAGGAAGGAAUUAUUUCUGGAAGUAUUCUGUCUCUGUUACAGAAACUGGGUUCCCUGCAAACGUGUCACAGAUCUAUGCAUAUGAGAAAGGUUUGUUUUCAACAAUGAUCUCACUGCAGCCUAUAUCAAUGAUGUCUGCACCAGAGGGUGGUGGGCAUUUAACAGGCUGCCCAAGGCAAUGGUCAAGCUUGCUGGAGUUCAAGAAGCCUCUGGACAACACUCUCAAACAUAUGGUAUGAUGCUUGCAUGGUCCUGUCUGGAGCCAGGUGUUGGACUUGAUGAUCCUUAUGAGUCCCUUCCAACUUAGGAUAUUCUAUAAUUCUAUGAGUUAUAGAAAUCUAUCAGUUCCAUGUAAAUAAGAGCAGCACUGACAAAUAUAG
This is a long non-coding RNA of Gallus gallus (chicken), 1086 nucleotides long. Lineage: Eukaryota; Metazoa; Chordata; Aves; Galliformes; Phasianidae. The record is from Ensembl.